This 432-nucleotide ribosomal RNA is filed under the name uncultured bacterium. RNAcentral describes it as "partial 16S ribosomal RNA". It matches the Rfam family "Bacterial small subunit ribosomal RNA", at positions 29 to 506 of the family's 1533-position model. The record is from RNAcentral.
AACGAACGCUGGCGGCAUGCCUAACACAUGCAAGUCGAACGAGACCUUCGGGUCUAGUGGCGCACGGGUGCGUAACGCGUGGGAACCUGCCCUUAGGUUCGGAAUAACUCCCCGAAAGGGGUGCUAAUACCGGAUAAUGUCUUCGGACCAAAGAUUUAUCGCCUUUGGAUGGGCCCGCGUUGGAUUAGCUAGUUGGUAGGGUAAAAGCCUACCAAGGCGACGAUCCAUAGCUGGUCUGAGAGGAUGAUCAGCCACACUGGGACUGAGACACGGCCCAGACCCCUACGGGGGGCAGCAGGGGGGAAUAUGGGACAAUGGGCAAAAGCCUGAUCCAGCAAUGCCGGGGGAGUGAUGAAGGCCUUAGGGUUGAAAAGCUCUUUUACCCGGGAUGAUAAGGACAGUACCGGGAGAAUAAGCCCCGGCUAACUCCGU